Molecule: ribosomal RNA, 888 nt
Filed under: uncultured bacterium
Lineage: Bacteria
Description: bacterial SSU rRNA
Rfam family: Bacterial small subunit ribosomal RNA
Source: RNAcentral
GUGCCAGCAGCCGCGGUAAUACGGAGGAUGCGAGCGUUAUCCGGAUUUAUUGGGUUUAAAGGGAGCGUAGGCGGGCGAUUAAGUCAGCGGUUAAAUAGUGUGGCUCAACCAUGCCUUGCCGUUGAUACUGGUUGUCUUGAGAGUACUAGAGGUGGAUGGAAUUUAGGGUGUAGCGGUGAAAUGCUUAGAUAUCCUAAAGAACUCCGAUUGCGAAGGCAGUCCACUGGGGUACGUCUGACGCUGAAGCUCGAAAGUGCGGGUAUCAAACAGGAUUAGAUACCCUGGUAGUCCGCACAGUAAACGAUGAUUACUCGCUGUUGGCGACAGACAGUCAGCGGCCAAGCGAAAGCAAUAAGUAAUCCACCUGGGGAGUACGCCGGCAACGGUGAAACUCAAAGGAAUUGACGGGGGCCCGCACAAGCGGAGGAACAUGUGGUUUAAUUCGAUGAUACGCGAGGAACCUUACCCGGGCUUGAACUUGGCAGGAAAGAUCCAGAGAUGGUGAUGUCCUUCGGGACCUGUCGAGAGGUGCUGCAUGGUUGUCGUCAGCUCGUGCCGUGAGGUGUCGGCUUAAGUGCCACAACGAGCGCAACCCUUGCCGUCAGUUGCCAUCACUUCGGGUGGGCACUCUGGUGGGACUGCCAUCGUAAGAUGUGAGGAAGGUGGGGAUGACGUCAAAUCAGCACGGCCCUUACGUCCGGGGCUACACACGUGUUACAAUGGAGGGUACAGAGGGCCGCCACCCGGCGACGGGGCGCCAAUCCAUGAAAACCCUUCUCAGUUCGGAUCGGAGUCUGCAACCCGACUCCGUGAAGCUGGAUUCGCUAGUAAUCGCGCAUCAGCCAUGGCGCGGUGAAUACGUUCCCGGGCCUUGUACACACCGCCCGU